CUCGAUUUACACAUGAUUUGAAAGGUUGUUGAAUCCAAGGAUAUGGAAACCACAGAUAUAGAGGGCUGAUUUUGUUCAACUGUGCUAAUCCUUUGGCCAGGUCACAUCCCUGUACCUCAGCUACUUUAUAAUCUGAAAGCUGUUCCUGUACGGAAAGAAACCUAUUUGUUCAGCUGGCUCACGCCUGUAAUUCCAGCACUUUGGGAGGCCAAGACAGGUGGGUCACCUGUGGUCAGAAGUUCGAGCCUGGGCAACAUGGUGAAACUCUGUCUCUACUAAAAAUACAAAAAUUAGUCAGGCAUUAUGGCAGGUGCCUGUAAUCCUGACUACUCGGGAGGCUGAACCACAAGAAUUGCUUGAACCCAGGAGGCAGAGGUGGCAGUGAGCCAAGAGCACGCCACUGCACUCCAUCCUGGGAGACAAAGUGAGACUGUCUCAAUAAAAAAAAAAAUCAAUUUGUCCAAGGCUUCAGUUCCACUGUCAGAAACUGUUCUCGAAUUUCUUCUCAUCUUCCUAUUCAAGACAUCCCUGCAUGUCUAGAUCAGAGCCCAUGUUUCUAUGUGUGUAUGUGUGGAUCAAUGGAAGAAGGGGAAGAUGAGAUAAUGGUAAAGUUGUAACUGAGGGGUGUUCACCUCCCCAAAGA
Molecule: long non-coding RNA, 643 nt
Filed under: Callithrix jacchus (white-tufted-ear marmoset)
Lineage: Eukaryota; Metazoa; Chordata; Mammalia; Primates; Cebidae
Description: lncRNA (ENSCJAG00000086721.1)
Source: RNAcentral